RNAcentral lists this long non-coding RNA (752 nucleotides) under Bos grunniens (domestic yak). RNAcentral's name for it is "lncRNA (ENSBGRG00000026705.1)". Lineage: Eukaryota; Metazoa; Chordata; Mammalia; Artiodactyla; Bovidae. The record is from RNAcentral.
AUUCGAGGCUCCAAAAGCACUUGUAUGUUUACAGUCUCUAGAUCUUUCUCUCUGCCGUUACCACUAGGAGCGCCAACCUCAUCUGCGGACCCCAGAGAUGGAUGAGAGGUGCGUGGAGCGGGCCUGGCUCACUCCGGAGUGGUCCAGGCUGUCCUAGAUCCAGCAGCCCCAGCAAUGAGAGCCAGCCCGGCCACAGCUACUGCAGCCCGGAGAGGCUUGUUUCAGCCUUCCCCUCCCUGCUCCUUCGGUCAUAACCUGGACCGUUGAGAAGUUGAAGCAGAUGCUCUCCUGCAAAGAUUCUGGACGCUACCCACAACUCAUUAUCAGUAGACGUAUCAGAGACAUCACACCUGGACAGGUCCCAUUCUCUACAAGGUAUGUGUGGAGGCACAGGGGAACCUGGGCUCUGUUGAGUUAGAGCCCAACCUGCAGGGCGACGUGCCACCCGCCUCCAACUCGAGAUGAGCCGGAUAAAACUUGUGGGGUGCUUCCUUCUAGAUUCACAAGGUCUGAUUUUACCUUUGUAUGAGAUUUACUACUAGAAUUUGGGCUUCCCUAGUGGCUCAGAUGGCAGAGAAUCUGCUUGCAAGGCAGGAGGUCCAGGUUUGACCCCUGAUCAGGAAGAUCCCCUGGAGAAGGAAAUGGCAACCCACUCCAGUAUUCUUACCUGGAGAAUUCCAUGGAUAGAGGAGCCUGGUGGACUACAGUCCAUGGGGUUAUAAUUCUUAUUUUGUGACAAGGUCUUAUUUUUC